This 1642-nucleotide long non-coding RNA is filed under the name Homo sapiens (human). RNAcentral's name for it is "HSALNT0352758". Lineage: Eukaryota; Metazoa; Chordata; Mammalia; Primates; Hominidae. The record is from RNAcentral.
UGGUCUGCAGGGAGGUGAACUGGAAUGGCAAUACAUGGUACACGGAAGAGCUUUGCCUCUGACGAUGACCCUCAGCUUUCCUGCUGCUCUCUUCCUAGGUUUUGUUUCUAAGUAUCUGGGCUUUGAAGAAUGGGGGUGGAGGGAUUCAAAGAAGACUUUUAGGAGGAGCCAGUCCCACUAGCAGAUAUUGUUGCUCUAACUCUGCCUAAGGAGCAAUUUCUGGCCCUGAGUCAUGAUCCCAAACAGGAAGUGCUUCUGAGUUCCUCCAAACAAGGUUUUUGCUACUUCAGGAAACCAUAGUUGUUGGCUGAUUUAGAAAAAUUACAGCAGCAUUAUACAAUAAGAGCUAUUUCUGCCCUCUUGUCACUAAAGUAUAACAAUAUUGCGUCCGGAAUUGGUGGGUUCUUGGUCUCACUGACUUCAAGAAUGAAGCCGCGGACCCUUGCGGGAUAGACACCUCCCUGAAUAAAGCCAUCAUCUGUAAUAACGCUGAGAUCUGGAGGAAGAGCUCUGUAGCACUACUGCAGAGUUGCUACAUGAACCCAUCAGAUCCUCCCUCCAGGAACUCGAAUGUAAAUCCAUUCAAGAGAAGUCAACCCUUGGAAGAUGGACAGAAGGGAAAAGACACACAGAAAAUAAGCCAGAAAGCAUCCACAGGAAGCAGAAGCUCUGGCAAGCAGGAAUUAAGAAACAGAGAAAAGGAAAGUGGAAACAUAUGAAUGCAUGUAAACAAUAGCAGUAAAAGCAAGGCAGAAAGUAGUUAGUGCCCAUAACAGCAAAGGACUGAAGCAGGCAGACAGAUACCUACAUUUAAGGAGUAUCUGCCAGAGCAAAAGAAGUAGAUUGGGUAUAAAUUCACCUUAUGUGCCUGCAGUGUUUAGUGCUUGGUGAGGUUUGGUCAUGUUACCGCUGACAUCUGCUACCCCUGUGUGUCCUUAAAAUCAAUCCUUAUUAUCUGAUGUAACCAUGAACUUCUCUUUCAUUCCUUAUGGCUUAAAAUACCUUACCCACCAACUGUGCUAUUAAUGACUUGUGUGGCCCGAGAUAGGUCACUUCCCUUGUCUACCUCGGUUUUCUUGGUGACAAGAUGAGGGUUUGACCAGGUGAUAUCUAAGUUCACUUCCAGCUCCAAUGCAUAUUAUUUUGAACUUUAGCAUGAAAGGGUUUGGUCACAGUUCUAUUGCAAAAUCCUGGAAAUAUCACCACCUUCUUUAUUUCCAGCCCCUUCUCCAGCCACAGAGCGCUUUAAACUUGAGACUCGCCUCAUAAGGAAUCUAAAUGCAGUGCCACUGUGCAAAUUAGCUGUGCAGCAUCCCAGGGGCACCCCAAGCAGGCUUGCCCAGCCUCAUGCAAUGCUUUCUGUUGAGCUAUCAGGAGAGUGUAUGCUCUGGCCCCAUCUCUCCAUUCUCAAGAUACUUUUUCAACCCCUACUAGAAAGAGAUGAAAACAAACUAUGGGAAGUUGCAAACAUGUUGAUGGGAAUUGAGGUAAAAUGCAGAAAGGUUGCUGGGUCUGGUGUGGUUGGAGGUGACUAUACCACUGUCCGAAGGAAAUCUGGAAGGGAUGAUUUUACAGGUUUUACUUAAAAUUUCAUUUCUGGCCGGGCGCGGUGGCUCGCGCCUGUAAUCUUAGCAUUUUGGGA